CCUACGGGGGGCAGCAGUGGGGAAUAUUGGACAAUGGGGGCAACCCUGAUCCAGCCAUGCCGCGUGUGUGAAGAAUGCCCUCGGGUUGUAAAGCACUUUCAGUGAGGAAGAACGCCUGGUGGUUAAUACCCAUCAGGAAAGACAUCACUCACAGAAGAAGCACCGGCUAACUCCGUGCCAGCAGCCGCGGUAAUACGGAGGGUGCGAGCGUUAAUCGGAAUUACUGGGCGUAAAGCGCGCGUAGGUGGCUUGAUAAGCCGGUUGUGAAAGCCCCGGGCUCAACCUGGGAACGGCAUCCGGAACUGUCAAGCUAGAGUGCAGGAGAGGAAGGUAGAAUUCCCGGUGUAGCGGUGAAAUGCGUAGAGAUCGGGAGGAAUACCAGUGGCGAAGGCGGCCUUCUGGACUGACACUGACACUGAGGUGCGAAAGCGUGGGUAGCAAACAGGAUUAGAUACCCGGGUAGUC
Molecule: ribosomal RNA, 465 nt
Filed under: Vreelandella stevensii
Lineage: Bacteria; Pseudomonadati; Pseudomonadota; Gammaproteobacteria; Oceanospirillales; Halomonadaceae
Description: partial 16S ribosomal RNA
Rfam family: Bacterial small subunit ribosomal RNA
Source: RNAcentral